GUCUAGAAGGUGAGGACAGUGCUGCGGCCGUGUUUCUGCUGGCUCCGGCCCGAGGCUGUCUCCCAGACAGCUGCUGUCCCACUGAAUUAGGUUCAAGCGAACACGGCCAUUGAGAUCCAAAGUAUUUCUGGCUGGUUUGGGCGUGGGUCCUUUCUCUAGAUGAAUAUUUUAAUGUGGGAAUUCAGAGGAAAGCUAUGGGGAAAGCAGUGUUGGUCAACUGACGACGCUAAAGAACCACCUUCGGUGGUUGUCACGAUGGACUUUCAUCAAAUUCAAAGAAAAAAAAAAGAUUCCACUGGGAUUUAAUUCAGAUUGCAUUUCACCGAAAAAUUACAAGGAUUAACAACAAGGAUUAAUAGCAUUGCUGCAUUCAUUAUGGCAACCCAAGGUUAUGUCUCUCUAUUGACUAUUCUCUUUAAUUAAUCUGUGUAAAAAGUUUGCAUUUUUAAUAUAGGUCUUGGAUAUUUCUUAUUAGUGUUCUUUAUAUUUUUUUCCAAUACUCUUAAGAAUGCAUUUUUCUCCCUAUAUUUUCUGCUUGUUGUUAGAAUAGAAACAGUAUUUAUUUUGGAGAUUUUUGUAUUUUUAUCUUGUAUCUGACCCCUUCCCUAAUUUUUAUGAAUACUAAGAAUUUUACAGUCAGUACUUUUAUAUUAUCUUGGUGCAUAAUCAUAAUGUAGUCUGUAAGUAACAAACAUUUUGUUUCCUUCUUUCUAUUGUAGAGUUUGAGAAGUCGUCAGUGUGUAGUCCUGUUACCUUAAUUGUUUCUGAGUUAUGGGUUGAAUUUAUUUUGAAAUUUCAAAAAACUUCAAAGGGUAGUAUGUUAUUUUUGUGUUAAUCAAAAUGAACAAUGGGUUUCAAAAGCUUGAACAACGUCAUCUUGGGAGUGCCAAAUGAAUAGGAUGUCCUGUAUGUCAGGAGCAUGCCCACACUUUUCUUGCUAGGGUGAGUUUAUUGUCCCUGAUGAAUCCCAGGAGUACUAGUCCAUGAUGCUCUUAUUCCCUGGUGCUUUAACAUGCAGUGCAGCCGGAGUUGGCCUGAACUUUAGGAAAUGAGGUCGUAAGUCGAAAGAACAGGGAAUUGAGAAAGCACACAGAAGCAGCCAGGGCCAACAUUUUCCCCUAAACAAGCCAAUCAACAAAAAGCAAUGCCAAACAAGCCCCUUUGAAACUUUCAAAGUCCUCAUCCUAGUACCUUCCUAGCACUCUAGGAGACAUCUUUCAGCUGUUGAUUUAUGAACGCUGAGAGGCACGUGGAGGAAUUAAUGGAGGUAAAUAUCUAACUUAAAAAAUCUUCAGUAGGCAUUUUUAGACAAUCCUCCUUGAAAGAAAAGUGUGGAUGCUCUGUGCGUGUAUUGACUGCACCUGCAGGGGUAUAGCUGGAGAACACCCAGUGAGCAUCUUCAGGAGCCAAGUCACGCAGGGGCUUAGCUCUCAGUCCAUUGCGACAGUUGCCAUGAUGCCUUCUGACCAUUAAACACUUUGAACUCUUUUCUCUCAUCCUCUGUUAUUUGCUUUGGACCCAUAACAGACUCAUUAGUUAAAAAUAAGAAGCAAAGGUAAUCCUGAUGUUGAAUUACAAGUUAAUGCAGAGCACAGACAUGAAAAUAAUUCUAUGGGUUUGCUGCAGCAUAAUCCUUGCCAGAUCUCCAAGUUCCAUUCAUCUAAUGAAAAGCCUUAGUUUGAAGAACAUUUUGGAGAACUCUUACAUCAAGAGGUCUCCAGUACCUCAAAAACCAGUGUUCAAAAGGAAAAUGCACACGCGCAUUUCAGGGAGGUGGGAAUAAAAGCCUUCCUUUGCGCAGCGUGUUACAUGUGGAAAUGUGGAACGCACACGAUCAUUCUUACUGUUAAAAAACCCCACAAAGAUUAUAAAAAUAUGUCAGUUUUUUUUUGGUGCAAAAACUCACACGAUUAAAAAUAUUAUACUAUGAAAGCAG
This 1936-nucleotide long non-coding RNA is filed under the name Homo sapiens (human). Its description in RNAcentral is "HSALNT0383114". Lineage: Eukaryota; Metazoa; Chordata; Mammalia; Primates; Hominidae. The record is from RNAcentral.